Molecule: transfer RNA, 72 nt
Filed under: Camelus bactrianus (Bactrian camel)
Lineage: Eukaryota; Metazoa; Chordata; Mammalia; Artiodactyla; Camelidae
Also listed under: 2 other names
Rfam family: tRNA
About the family: Transfer RNA (tRNA) molecules are approximately 80 nucleotides in length. Their secondary structure includes four short double-helical elements and three loops (D, anti-codon, and T loops).
Source: Rfam by way of RNAcentral
GGAAUAAUAGCUGAGUGGUAGAGUCUGUGCUUAGCAUGCACGAGGUCCUGGGUUCAAUCCUCAGUACCUCCA